This 305-nucleotide ribosomal RNA is filed under the name uncultured bacterium. RNAcentral's name for it is "bacterial SSU rRNA". It matches the Rfam family "Bacterial small subunit ribosomal RNA", at positions 338 to 661 of the family's 1533-position model. The record is from RNAcentral.
CCUACGGGGGGCAGCAGUGAGGAAUAUUGGGCAAUGGGGGCAACCCUGACCCAGCCAUGCCGCGUGAGUGAAGAAGGUCUUCGGAUUGUAAAGCUCUUUCGGACGUGACGAUGAUGACGGUAGCGUCUAAAGAAGCACCGGCAAACUUCGUGCCAGCAGCCGCGGUAAUACGAAGGGUGCGAGCGUUAUCCGGAUUUAUUGGGUUUAAAGGGUGCGUAGGCGGUCUGUUAAGUCAGCGGUAAAAUUGCGGGGCUCAACCCCGUCGAGCCGUUGAAACUGGCAGACUUGAGUUGGCGAGAAGUACG